This 442-nucleotide ribosomal RNA is filed under the name uncultured bacterium. RNAcentral describes it as "partial small subunit ribosomal RNA". It matches the Rfam family "Bacterial small subunit ribosomal RNA", at positions 370 to 808 of the family's 1533-position model. The record is from RNAcentral.
UAUGGACGAGAGUCUGAACCAGCCAGUAGCGUGCAGGANGACNGCCCUAUGGGUUGUAAACUGCUUUUAUAANGGAAUAAAGUGAGUCUCGUGUAGCACUUUUUGCAUGUACCUUAUGAAUAAGGACCGGCUAAUUCCGUGCCAGCAGCCGCGGUAAUACGGAAGGUCCGNGCGUUAUCCGGAUUUAUUGGGUUUAAAGGGAGCGUAGNCCGNAGAUUAAGCNUGUUGUGAAAUGUAGAUGCUCAACNUCUGCACUGCAGCUCNNACUGGNUUCCUUGAGUNCNCNNAAAGUGGGCGGAAUUCGUGGUGUAGCGGUGAAAUGCUUAGAUAUCACGAAGAACUCCGAUUGCGAAGGCAGCUCNCUGGANCGCAACUGACNCUGAAGCUCGAAAGUGCGGGUAUCNAACAGGAUUAGAUACCCUGGUAGUCCAAGGGCGAAUUC